AUGUACCACCCGUACACUGCAGGUGUGAGCGCGCCGUCCGCACCCACCUGACGACUGCGCGCUACGUUUUGUUAGCC
Molecule: non-coding RNA, 77 nt
Filed under: Xanthomonas citri
Lineage: Bacteria; Pseudomonadati; Pseudomonadota; Gammaproteobacteria; Lysobacterales; Lysobacteraceae
Also listed under: 8 other names
Description: sX9 sRNA
Rfam family: Xanthomonas sRNA sX9
Source: RNAcentral